This 426-nucleotide ribosomal RNA is filed under the name uncultured bacterium. Its description in RNAcentral is "bacterial SSU rRNA". It matches the Rfam family "Bacterial small subunit ribosomal RNA", at positions 354 to 796 of the family's 1533-position model. The record is from RNAcentral.
GCAAGGAAUAUUGCGCAAUGGGCGAAAGCCUGACGCAGCGACGCCGCGUGGGUGAAGAAGGCCUUCGGGUCGUAAAGCCCUUUUGCGAGGGAAGAGGAUGGACGGUACCUCGCGAAUAAGCCCCGGCUAACUACGUGCCAGCAGCCGCGGUAAUACGUAGGGGGCGAGCGUUGUCCGGAAUUACUGGGCGUAAAGAGUACGUAGGCGGUUCGUUAAGUCGGCUGUGAAAUUCCUCGGCCCAACCGAGGGGGGUCAGCCGAUACUGGCGGGCUGGAGGGAGGCAGGGGGAAGCGGAAUUCCCGGAGUAGUGGUGAAAUGCGUAGAUACCGGGAGGAACACCAGAGGCGAAAGCGGCUUCCUGGGCUUUUCCUGACGCUGAGGUGCGAAGGCGUGGGGAGCGAACCGGAUUAGAUACCCUAGUAGUCC